AGCUUGCUGGGGGAUUAGUGGCGAACGGGUGAGUAACACGUGAGUAACCUGCCCUUGACUCUGGGAUAAGCCUGGGAAACUGGGUCUAAUACCGGAUAUGACUGAUCAUCGCAUGGUGGUUGGUGGAAAGCUUUUGUGGUUUUGGAUGGACUCGCGGCCUAUCAGCUUGUUGGUGGGGUAAUGGCCUACCAAGGCGACGACGGGUAGCCGGCCUGAGGAGGGUGACCGGCCACACUGGGACUGAGACACGGCCCAGACUCCUACGGGAGGCAGCAGUGGGGAAUAUUGCACAAUGGGCGAAAGCCUAUGCAGCGACGCCGCGUGAGGGAUGACGGCCUUCGGGUUGUAAACCUCUUUCAGUAGGGAAGAAGCCGUAAGGUGACGGUACCUGCAGAAGAAGCGCCGGCUAACUACGUGCCAGCAGCCGCGGUAAUACGUAGGGCGCAAGCGUUAUCCGGAAUUAUUGGGCGUAAAGAGCUCGUAGGCGGUUUGUCGCGUCUGCCGUGAAAGUCCGGGGCUCAACUCCGGAUUCUGCGGUGGGUACGGGCAGACUAGAGUGAUGUAGGGGAGACUGGAAUUCCUGGUGUAGCGGUGAAAUGCGCAGAUAUCAGGAGGAACACCGAUGGCGAAGGCAGGUCUCUGGGCAUUAACUGACGCUGAGGAGCGAAAGCAUGGGGAGCGAACAGGAUUAGAUACCCUGGUAGUCCAUGCCGUAAACGUUGGGCACUAGGUGUGGGGGACAUUCCACGUUUUCCGCGCCGUAGCUAACGCAUUAAGUGCCCCGCCUGGGGAGUACGGCCGCAAGGCUAAAACUCAAAGGAAUUGACGGGGGCCCGCACAAGCGGCGGAGCAUGCGGAUUAAUUCGAUGCAACGCGAAGAACCUUACCAAGGCUUGACAUGAACCAGACCGCCGCAGAAAUGUGGUUUCCCCUUUGGGGUUGGUUUACAGGUGGUGCAUGGUUGUCGUCAGCUCGUGUCGUGAGAUGUUGGGUUAAGUCCCGCAACGAGCGCAACCCUCGUUCUAUGUUGCCAGCACGUGAUGGUGGGGACUCAUAGGAGACUGCCGGGGUCAACUCGGAGGAAGGUGGGGACGACGUCAAAUCAUCAUGCCCCUUAUGUCUUGGGCUUCACGCAUGCUACAAUGGCCGGUACAAAGGGUUGCGAUACUGUGAGGUGGAGCUAAUCCCAAAAAGCCGGUCUCAGUUCGGAUUGGGGUCUGCAACUCGACCCCAUGAAGUCGGAGUCGCUAGUAAUCGCAGAUCAGCAACGCUGCGGUGAAUACGUUCCCGGGCCUUGUACACACCGCCCGUCAAGUCACGAAAGUUGGGUAACACCCGAAGCCGGUGGCCUAACCCCUUGUGGGA
RNAcentral lists this ribosomal RNA (1365 nucleotides) under Arthrobacter sp. MH13. Its description in RNAcentral is "16S ribosomal RNA". It matches the Rfam family "Bacterial small subunit ribosomal RNA", at positions 77 to 1448 of the family's 1533-position model. The record is from RNAcentral. Lineage: Bacteria; Bacillati; Actinomycetota; Actinomycetes; Micrococcales; Micrococcaceae.